This 263-nucleotide long non-coding RNA is filed under the name Prunus dulcis (almond). RNAcentral's name for it is "sRNA ncRNA". Lineage: Eukaryota; Viridiplantae; Streptophyta; Magnoliopsida; Rosales; Rosaceae. The record is from RNAcentral.
AGUUGACACUGGGGCUGGUAGCCUCGGCCACUGGCAGCAUUGGCUUUGUUGUAUAUAACUUACAAAUGGGAAAAGAUAACUUCAGCUGGUCGGAGUUCUGCAAUGUUUACAACACCUUCUGCAACCAUCUAGGAUUCUCCGUCGGUGUCUCCAUAUUUGCCACCAUUUUGCUCAGCUUUCUUCUCUGGACCUCCCUCUUUUCUUUUUACAGAAGAAUCUCAAGGAAGAGCCCACCACCACAAUUAACACAGGCAGAGGCAUAG